Molecule: non-coding RNA, 4236 nt
Organism: Microcebus murinus (gray mouse lemur)
Lineage: Eukaryota; Metazoa; Chordata; Mammalia; Primates; Cheirogaleidae
Source: RefSeq, a predicted model, not a curated record
ACCUGCUUCAGCCUCCCAGAGUGCUAGGACUACAGAACACCAGCACCUCCACAGACAGAGGCUUCCUGCAGCACCAGGCCCACAGGCACCCUCAGCCCGGAAGUCUCAGGCCAGCCUGCCACCUCCCCGUCCAGCUACCCUGCAGCCCUCCUCGCCCCGAGCCCCCUGCUCGUCUCGCUCAGCCUCAUCCUGGUGCUGAGGAGGAGGGCCUGCUAUGGGGAGCUCAGUCUGGGGGGCCUGAAGCCCCACCCCCAGAGUAGGAGUGCACUGUGGCCUCUCCAGACAGGCAAGUGGAUGUCCAACUGCCCUGCCCCCCGGUGUUUACUCGGUGGUGGGCUCUGCCCCUCUGGCCAGCAAGGCCUCAUGUAACCAUUGCCCAGGGAGCAUUGGUGGCAGUGUCCAGGUGGUGAGGGCAGCAGCCGGGUGGUCAGGCAGGCUCCUCCAAACAGGCCCCUCAGCCCGCCCAUUCCCGGCUGCCUCCCACAACCCUGGAAAUGAAGCUUGGGGCUGACAGACACCCGCAGGAGGCUGGGAGAACUGGAACAGAAAUGCAGAUGUGGGGGGAUCUUGGUUCUCCCCCUAUCUCCUGGGACACGGGGACCCAUUCAGUGGCACCUCCAGGUCCCGGAAGAGGCGUGGGACACGUGUGGACCAACUCGGUCUCCUCUGUGUCUCCUGGCCUUUGCCCCCUCCGCCCCAGGGCCAGGUGGGCGUGCCGAGGUGGGCAGUGCUGUCCUGGGUGUGUUCAGCUGUUCCCAACUCCCGGCUUUGGCUCCCUGUGCUCUACCUCCAGGUGGCCCUCACACUGCUGCUCCCUCCACUGAAACUCCAAACCUCUCGUCCCCCACCUUCACCACACGCCAGGGCUUCCACAGACAGUGCUCCAUCCUGAAGGGUGAAUCUUAUGCUCUUGCACUCCUCACCUGCCCGGGAAUCCAGAGCCAGAGAGGGCGAGGCACCAGCCACGGUCACACAGCGAGGGAGGCUUCUCCCCUCCCGGGACACCUAAAGACUAGACUCUCAGGGCUGGGACGGGGGUGGGUGGGGGAAGCAAUGCCUUGUCACCUGUGCUGGGAAGACGGGCUCCCUACCCUACCCGCAAGGUGCAUAAAGUUGGGGAAAACCCGUGCUUACUCGGGCCAGGCCUGUUCCACGUGCUUCACACGCUCACACAAGCCUCCCCCUCUGGCUCAGAUAGCUGCUCACAGAGGAGGAGACUGCAGCCAGGAGCCCCUGCCCCUGCGCACACGCGGAGGACUGAGAAGGGGGCAGGCGGGAGGAAGCGCAAGGUCCAAUCCUGCACGUGCAUGUCCACACACGGCACCUCGGCGGUCAGGCGUGGGGGCCUCAGCAGGUGGAGCGCAGCCCCCAUAGGUGCCUGCAUCCCUGUGGAAGGGCCAAUCCCCCUCCAUCAAGAGGCUGGGGCAAAGGCGCCUUUCUGCUAGCCUGGCCUGGAAGGGCUGGAGGCAUCAUCCAGCUUAAGAGAAACUCUGGUCCUUUGGGGUAUGGAAAAGUUAGAGGGCAAUCUGAAGUUGGUAAAAAAAUUGCUUCUAUUUCUAAACAUUAGACAGUCAUCCAGUGUGAAGAGAUGAGAGCGCCCCAGAGUAGAGCCCACAGGAGGAGGAAGACUACCUGGGGUCAAGGGUGGGGAGGAGGACUGCCGGGGACAGUCAGCCUCAGACCAGGCACAAGACAGGCUCCCAGGGCAGGCCGUCCUGGCUAGAGAGGUCUGGGACCGAGGCCAACCCCUGCAGCCCCUCACUGGCCUAGGGGAGGGGUUAUAGGGGCAGGCCUGGCAAUCUCCUGGGGGACACGGGUAGGCAAAGGCCUUAACCUAGAAAGCUCCAGCAGCUCCUAGGCCCACCAGGACACAAGAGAGAUUUGGUGGUGGUAGAACUCAGGGAUGGUUUUUGAAGCCAUGACCUAAAAGGGAAGGAGUCGGGCAUGGUCCUGCCCAAAGGCUCCCCUGCCUGCAGAGAGCCAGCAGGCUCAGUGCAGGGACCCCCAGGAGCCCAAACCAUGAGCUUACUGGGUGAAGUCAGCAGCCAGCACCAAGCUGCCAAAGAGUCAGCAGAAAGAUCACGUAGGGUUGACCACAGCUGGUAGCAGGUUCCUCUGUGCCUCUGUAAAAUACAGGCCUCUCAUUCCUGGCCCUGAAGGGCUGCUGCCCCAACAUCAGCACCCUGAAGACUAGCCUGAUACAUGCACAGGUCCCAGGUCAGCCCCAUGCUCCCAGUACCCACAGAUAAGGACUAGAGCCAGGGCAGCCAAGGUGUAGGACAAGGUCCCUGGGAGACGCUCCUCAGGCUGUUGUGAUUCCUGAAACAUCCCCAUUAGGUCCUCUCUUCUCGCAGAGGAAAGGACAUACCAGCCUUGUCCUCUCCAGCCACCUAUGCUACCACCGGGGCCGCUGCAGGUGUCAGGGAGAGAACCGGGUGGGACAACGCCACAGCUCUGAGGCUGAGGCUGGCCAGGUGGGCUGCAGGAGACCCCUCCCUCUCCAGGCUUUGGUUUCCCGGCCCCCUGCAAACCAGGCUACUUGAAGCUUUGCCUGAGGCCUUGCGCAAAGAUGUAGUUCAGACUCAGUGAACACAGCAGGCUUUAAGGAGGUGGCACACACCUGGUCAGCGAGGGCACAAGGAAGAGAACCCACAGCAUGGGGACAAGUUCCAGAGCCCACCUCCAACCAUCUCAGGAGGCCCCUGCCAGCGUCAACGGGCUUGUUUAGUUGUCACAGCAACCCUCGCAUGGAGCCGCCCUAUUCUCCAGAUGAAUGAACAGAGGCUCAGAGACUCUCGUCUCACAGCGGGGCCGGGGCGCAGACCCAGGUGUCCUCGUUCUUCUGAUGUGGCCUCGAGGGAAGUGCUGGACUCUCAGUAACACACCAGCGUGUGGCAGGGACAAGGUACUCGAGGGAGGGAGGGGGACGGAAGGAAAGACAGCCUGAGCCCCUGGGCGGUGAUGGGCUGCCCAGGGCCGGUGAGCCGGGCCCAGCACAGCUGCCCUCUGCGCAGUCCUCUCCUCACAGGAGCAGCCUCGAGCGACUCCAGCUCUGCCCUCAGCUUUCUGUGCACACACGGCCCAAGCCCUAUUCUUCAGGUUGUAGGUUUGAGAGUGCUGAUGACGUGACAGUGGACUUGAAGCCAGGCUUCCAGCCCACCCAUGUCCCUUUCAGUUCCCGGAGCUCCAGCCCCACCCAGGGAUUUCUACUCAGACCCUGCUUGGCAUGUGUUCUCGCAACUUCUAUUAAUACUGGUUUCCAAGGCACUGUUCGGGCAUCGCCUCUUCUGGUACUCAAGGACGCCUCCCUCGAGCUUCCACAGCAGCCUCCCCCCAGGCUGUCACUGCAGGGCGAGUGUGCCGUGGCUGCCUAUCCCCUCACAGGCCAGGUAGCUCUUCCCGCAGUGUACAGCACUUCAACCCCUGGCUUAGUGCAAGGCUAGGCUGGCACAGGAGGGACAGUGUGGGCCCAGUGAAUACCCACCCAGAUGCUGGGUAGACCUAACAAGCCCUCUUGUGAGGGCUGGCCUGCCUACGUGGAGUGGGAAACCAGACCCAGGAUGCCACCACCCCGGCUGCCCUGAGAACAAAUCUGCUGAUAGAGCCCAGUGAGAGCAGGGCUCUGGAGGGGUUGCCCAGUGGCCCACCACCUAAGGUCACUGGGAUGCGUGGUCACCAGCAUGAGGGGGUGACAGUUCCAGCCAGAUUGAGAGGGCAUGUUUUUGGUCCUGGGAGAGGGACAAGUGGCGGUGUCUGGUGAUCAGCAUCUCUCGCAGGGCAGUAGGCCACUGACCAACCCCCACCAGGACCCACAGGCCAGAGCCAGCCAGCACAGCGAUACUCGAGACACUUCGCACCUCCUAGGCUGGGACAGGGAAAGGCCAGGCACAGAGUGACGCAGGAUUAACCCACCUCCCACAAACACAGCCAGGCCCCCAUUCCAAAAACCCGGAUGCUUUAAUGGCCUGCCUCCAGGGCCCACAGGCUCUUCACAAACCCGUAAGGCCAACCACCCUCAUGUCAGCCCCUGGCUCAGUCAACACUCCACAGACAAGUGGUCCACAGCAAGCCUGCCAAGCUCUGGCUUGUGGAGUGCCACGGUCUCAUCAUGAUCUUCGGAGACCUCCUAGGACUGAGCUGCCACUCAGCCUGCCUGCUCCAGUCCCUGAGUCCCUGCAGCUGCCAGGCUUCCAGAAACACAAGUUUCCAGGGAUAGUGCAUGGAAUGGAAGAGGCA